This 559-nucleotide ribosomal RNA is filed under the name uncultured bacterium. RNAcentral describes it as "partial 16S ribosomal RNA". It matches the Rfam family "Bacterial small subunit ribosomal RNA", at positions 355 to 902 of the family's 1533-position model. The record is from RNAcentral.
UGGGGAAUAUUGCACAAUGGGCGCAAGCCUGAUGCAGCCAUGCCGCGUGUGUGAAGAAGGCCUUCGGGUUGUAAAGCACUUUCAGCGAGGAGGAAGGUGGUGAACUUAAUACGUUCAUCAAUUGACGUUACUCGCAGAAGAAGCACCGGCUAACUCCGUGCCAGCAGCCGCGGUAAUACGGAGGGUGCAAGCGUUAAUCGGAAUUACUGGGCGUAAAGCGCACGCAGGCGGUUUGUUAAGUCAGAUGUGAAAUCCCCGGGCUCAACCUGGGAACUGCAUUUGAAACUGGCAAGCUAGAGUCUCGUAGAGGGGGGUAGAAUUCCAGGUGUAGCGGUGAAAUGCGUAGAGAUCUGGAGGAAUACCGGUGGCGAAGGCGGCCCCCUGGACGAAGACUGACGCUCAGGUGCGAAAAGCGUGGGAGCAAACAGGAUUAGAUACCCUGGUAGUCCACGCUGUAAAACGAUGUCGAUUUUGGAGGUUGUGCCCUUGAGGCGUGGCUUCCGGAGCUAACGCGUUAAAAUCGACCGCCUGGGGAGUACGGCCGCAAGGUUAAAAACUC